UAGCUCAGUGGUGCUGCCACCUGCCUACGCAAGUGCAAAGUCCUGAGUUUGAUCCCUGGUACAAAAAACAAAAUCCUAGUCAGUCAUCUGCUUCAUUGUGGGCACUUAAUCCUCUAGAACUUGUGAGGGAUUCUAGUGAACCCCUAAGUCAUUAAGAUGUGUUGAGGUCUGUUAAUAAGUAAAGAGAAAGAAGUCUAGGUCUUGUUGCUAAAAAUCUCAAUGUGUGAAAGAAUUUGCCAUUAUCUUUCUAUCCUAUCUUGUAAUACUUAUUUAUAUCAUGUUUUUCUUUCCUUUUUUCUUUUCUUCCUCCCUCCCUUCCCUGUUAUCUAGCUCUCUUUUCUUUUUCCCUCUCUUUCUUAUUGAACCCCCGGGCCUCAUGCAUGUUAAGUACACAUUCAACCACUGAGCCACAUCCCCAGCUUGUGUCAUGAUUUUAUUUUCAAGCCUGUCAAGUGUUGAAAGGAAUUCUCAUACAAUUCUGGACCUCAGUCUUCUUGUGGGAUAGCUUAUCAUAUUGGGAGCCACUUAUUCUACACCAGUUAACCUCAUGCUUCUUUAUUUAUGGUGAAAUUUGGCAAAAUUCUUAUUUUUCUACUUAAAUUGGGCUUGUAUAUGUUUUGCUUGAAUCAAGUCCUUUUAUUCCUUUUUUUGGUACCCAGGAUCGAACUUGGGUCCUUGUGCUUGCGCAGCAGGUGGUGAAACCACUGAGCUAAAUCCCAGGCCCAAGUCCUUUUAUUCUUUUUAAAAAGUUGUGGAAAAAUAUACAUCAUUUAAAAUUUACUACGAUAACCAUUUUAAUAUAGGUACAGUUCAGUUACAAUACAGUCAUAGUACUGUAGCCAUCACUGUCAGUUUCCAGAACAUUUUAUCACCCCAGAAGGAAGCCCUGUACCCAUUAAACAAUCACCUCCAUUCCCUUUCUCUCCUUAGUUUCUAGCAAACACUAGUUGACUUUAUGAUUUUAUGUAUUAAAUUCUACUUGGACAUUUCAUAAAAUAGAGUUAUAUAGUAUGUGGCUUCUGGUUCGGCUUCUUUCACUUAGUAUAAAGUUUUCAAGGUUCAUCUUUAUUCCUUUUAAAAAUGGCUGAAUAAUAUUGUCAUGUUCAUCUGUCACAUUUUGUUUUUCCAUCCAUCAACUGAUGGACAUUUGGAUUGUUCACUCAGCUAUCGUGAUAAUGCUGCCAGAAACAUUAAUGUACAAACCAUUGUUGGCACAACUGUUUUCAAUUCUUGUGGAUAUGUACAAAGGAAUGGAAUCACAGGGGUCAUGUUACAACUCUGUUUUACUUAUUAAGGAAGUACCAAACUGUUUUCACAGCACCUGCACCGUUUACAUUCCCAACAGCCAUAUAUAAGGAUUUCAGUCAUUCCACAUCUUUGCCAACACUUUCUUUCUUGAAUCUGAAGUAUGCACACAUUUUGGGGUGGUAAUAAUGGAAGGGAAGAUUAAAGCUGUUUCUUGGAUCAUACUUGAUUUUCCUGAAGAGGCUUACUAUAUGGUAGAUCUGGAAGUGCAGUUAUCUUCUUUUGUUUUUCAUAGAAAAGACUUCAUUUUUAAAUGCUUACUUGAACAGUCACUUGCUUCUUCUGACCUCUCCCUGACAUCCCAGGUUCCGAGUGGUUGCUCGAAGCAUGGCUGCCUUCCUUUCAGUGCAGGUUCUUACAGAAGACCAGAUCCGUUUGAAGCCUGGCCCUGAAUUACAUCUUAGCCCAAAAGCUCAGCAGGCUCUGGCUGCUCUUGAGUCCAUAACACUGAGUAAGCAGUAUAUUGAAUACCAGGAUCAGAUAUUGCAAGCUGCCCAGUUUAUAAAGCAUCCGGACAUUGUCUCCAAGAUGGGAAAAGCUUCCUGGCUCUUCUCGUUAAUGGUCUCUAUCCUGAAGUGCAUUAUUUGGAUAACAUACGAUAGUAACACUAAGGCUCCUGAAAAACCUCAUUGUUGUUUAUGUUUACAUUUAACUUUGCUUUGCAAAAGUAAUUGCUCAGUUUCACUGCAGAGCCCAGUUCAACCGAGAAGUAGUUGACUGGGAGCCAUUAGCUAGUUCUUGGGUGUGUGAGUAUGUAUGCUUGCAUGCAUGUGUGUAAGUUCUUAUCUCUUAAAACUUUCUGGGGGCUUUUUAAUUAUGUUCAUCACAAAUAGUUCCACUUGGGUACCGAACCACUAACAGUUGGUGAAUGUCCCAGUCACCUCACAAGGCCCCCAGAUAGAGUUCUUUAUAUGUCUCCACUUCUCUCUCCCAUUUUAUUUAAAUGUCAGGACUCCUGUGCCAGAUAUGACUGCUUUGGGAGUCAUAUAGAGCCCUUUGUUUUGAACCCCAUUUAUAUUCUUCCAGUGUAAAAAAGUCAACUUUGAGAAUUUCUGCAUCUCUCAAAUGUGAGGAGAUACACCAUCUUAAAAGUAUGUUAUUUCUCUCAGAAGGGAUAUAAAGAUGCUGAAUUAGUGAAAGUGAGGCAUGUGCAAAGCAUGGCCACUUACUCUUGAUUAUAGUGGACAGCAGAGAUGGUGACAUGCCUGCUUCCAUUAGCCGUGUAUGCCCCUGGAGGAGCCCCUGUUGGACCUGGGUGACGAGGCUGGUGCUCUGUGAUGACCAUGUUGUGCACACGUGUUUUAUUUAGUCCACGGGAUGGGGAGUGCAGACUGGGCUGACUCCUUCCAGCUACCAGGUCCCUCCAUUCCCUUGGGUUCCCCUGUUUAUAUUGCUUCCUUGGCCCUGUUGAUGUUGAAGUCGCAACCCAUGACAGACACCAGGUUUGCAAUUUGAAUGCCCCGUGGUCAAGAAGGAAACUGGGGACUUAGUUCUCUAUUGCCUGCUUGUUUCUUCCCUCCACGUUUAAACUCAAAUGAAGCUUGAGGACCUGCUGAAAUACUUGUCCUGGAAACUGGGCCAGGUUGGGAGAAUUUCUAAAAUUUACCUAUUUUGAAUAGCCAUGUGCCUUCUGUCUCUUUUAACCAUUCAUUAUCACAACUUGCCUACAACUUUGCAUUGUUCUUUUGAUAUCUUCUUGCUCAUAUUAUUUCCCCUGGGAAUUAGCAAUUUGCCUUCUGUCAACAUAUUUGUAAUUCUGUCAACUCAAAAUGGAUUUUUUGUUGUUGUUGUUCAGCUUAGAUAAUGUGUCUUUGUUUAUGAUUUGUCUUUAGCCCAAGAAUAUUUACCUAAAAAUAUCUAAUGGGUCACCAACAUCUCUUAGAGAGAGAUAGGAACAUAGUUAACAAGAUGCUACUCUCUUCCCACAUGUCCUUUCAGAGUACUUCCCCUCACAUUUGGAAGUUCGUAGGAACUCUUCUUUAUUGGACAGAACAGUUCUGCCUUGGAGCUCUGACAAAGAACAUCUCUGUUCAGUGUCCGACUUUUGUAGGCCACGGGGAGUCAUCUCACAGGAACACAUCUUAUCUUCCCUUAUUUUUGUUUCUCUCCCUUUUCAAAUCAAUCAUCUUCUCCUCCUAUACAUCAGAAAAUUUUAGAAGCUGUGGACAGUUUAAUUGGCUGAUUUGGCAGCAGUAUUUUAGGACAGGAAAUACGUGCUGUUUUCUUUGAGGAGGAUGAAAUUAUUGAUAUCCUAGAAUGUGAAAUGUUUGAGUGAAGUAUGCACAUUUUAAAGAUAAUUAUGAUUAAUCUUAAUUUUUGAAAGUUUAUAAUAUUUAUAAGGUACUUGAUAUAUAAAAAUUAUUAAAAAUAAAAUCAAUCUUUGGUUGUGAUGGAUUCAGAUCUGAAUUACAGUAAUACCACAUGAACUUGGGAAGUGUUCCUGUUAAGGUUGAUGUUGAUUUUAUGCCUGAUGUCAUCUGAUUUAUUUCGACAUUAUAACUUUGUUUUCAGAGAGGGUCAAUAAAAGUGCUUACUCUUUACUGCUUCACAUCUAACAUAGGAUUAGCAGGGUUAUUAGUCCUAGGUUCCUGGGCUAAGAACGGGCUUUCCAGACACUAGGCUAGUUGGGAGCAUGGAAGCCUCCAGAGAGGAAGGCUGCAGGCAGGCCAUCCUGCCCAUUGCUCGCCUGGGAAUGCGCCUUUGCUUAAAAAGACUGUAAACCUCCGGAGAGCACAGGGCCACACUUUCAGAGGCAGUGACUGGUGCUGCAUGUGGAUAUUGGGAUGAAGCAAGACCAAGGCCUGCUUAUGGGCUGAAUGGUGUAGAAGGCAGACCAUUGCAUGCUCAAUUCCUACACUGUGGCCAGCAGUGUCUAAUACUUUCUGGGAGAAAGACAAGGCAGGUCCCAGUGAAAAGUGCCUCUUCCCCAUUCAUCGUAGCUCAUCCUGCAGUAGAAACAUGAGGUAGAGAAGUGGCUUGGAUCCCCCCCAUUUCCUUGCUCCACUCUUGAUUAGAACAGUGAAACACCCUGGACAAUACAGGGUGUUAAUGCAGAGAGGUCCUGCCACAUUACUGCACAGUGUGACAGUAGCAGGUGGAACAGGGGCCCAUAGUCCUGCACACUUGCUCUCAGCUCCCCACAUGGCUGGUUUCUCAGUUUCAUGAUCAGUGUGUUGGCUCAGCCACUAAAUGCCUCCACUUUAUCAAGGUUAUGUCUAAGUCUCUCUGUUCUUUUAUAUGGAGGAAAUCUAGUGCAGAAAAUACAACCCUCAACCUCACCCUAGCCUAACUUUCCAUGUUCCUCAUGAGUAAUCACUAAAACCAACGUGCCUGUGUCUUACAAGUUAAGCUUGUCUGUGCCCUUCUUCUACUUGAAUGAAGGUGAUAGACUUCAUUUCAUUGAAUUUUUUCUUCCCAAAACUGCCUUUUCUGGAACAGGAAGCAAAUGUUUUGGGAUCACAGACAUGGAAAGUGAGAGAAGGCAGUAAAUACUCCCUAGGCUCACCCUUCUCUCAGUGGGAAUCCUCAGUCUCCCCUCCAUUGGCCAAUGUCCUGCGCUCAUAGUCCUGCUUAUACCAAGCCAAGAUGUCUCCUUGUAAUGUUCCCUUAUUGGUUGUGGAUCUUCCUGGAAACAUUCCAAAUAGGGACUGUUCUUGUGCUCCCCUCUCAAUAGACAUUUCUCUUCUGGUCACAUCUCUGACCCCACUGACCCCCAACCUUUAGUCCUUUCCAGGCUAAAUGCCCCAAACUCAUUAGUUGUUUUCCGCCUGAUGUUCACUUUUCCAUGGGGAAAAAUGCCCAAAUCCCUCUAUGUUACUGUGCCCAGGAGUAGCAACGUCAGACCUAGGACCAAAGAAGCAUAGAGGGUAAAAAUUUUGAGUCAUCAUUUGUAGAUGCCAAGAGUGCUUUGUGGUCUUUUCGAAAAGCCUUUGUUGUCUUGAUUGCCUUAUCCUGGUUCCUGUCCUGGCAUUAGUCACACUUGUGUGGGCCCAGCAGUGCUGUUUAUUUACGUCUCUGAACACAGGUAGUAUCAGCUCUGACAGUUGCAGUGUUAAACUGUGGUAAGUCCAAACUCCAGACCUGGGGCUACCACCUGCUGGUCACCUUGCAUGUUUGCAUAAGGAGUAGGCAUUCGCUCUGCAUCUAAAUCUUUUACUGCUGUCUGCUCUUCAUUGUGGGCCAAUUUUACAGCUUAUUUUGAUUUAGUAGCUGAUUGUUUUUCUGCUCAAUUUUCUUGUCUUAUUAAGCAAAAUGGAGAAUACAGUGGGAAAUUAGUGUGUUGCUUUACAAGAAAAACUCCCCUUCUGUGAUCUUCCAUUUGUGUCUAGAUCGAGCUGGGUAAAGCUCUCAACUUUAAGAGAGGGGCACUGGUCCUCACUUUGUUCUGCUCUACAGUGAUGAUGUGUUCUAGAGCAGGCUCAGGCAUCCUGUGGUCUAGAACAUUUCCUUCACUCUGGAUGGGUUCCUGAUUUCUGAUGAGAAUAACCUGAAAAAAAUUAAGCUACUGAUCUUAUUUUGGGAUAAUGAAUUUGCUAAGAAAUUUUGUUAGUUAUAACUUACUUUUUAAGUGUACCAAUGUAAUAUCUUUCACUUGAGCACUGAGAAUUCUUUUAGGGAUUUAAAAACCACUCUGUUGGAGAUAAGUACUUUAGUGUAUUCAACUCUUCCUUCCCACUUGUCUAACAUGACCUUUAAAAAUCCACAGUGUUAGCCAGGUGUGGUGGCUCAUGCCUAUAAUCACAGCUGUCAGGAGGCUGAGGCAGGAGGAUUGCCACAUGUUCAAGACCAGCCUGAACUCCAUAGUGAGACCCUGUCUCAAAAACAAAACAAAACAAAAAAACUCCACAGUUUUAUUUUGGUCAUUAAAUGUGCAAUAUUUACUUUUUCCUUUCUCAACAUUUUACAUGCUUAUACAAAGAAUGAAUUUUUAUAUAAUAGUGAGAAACAGGAAGAAAUGAGAAUUGGUUAAAAUUCUGAAAAUAAACCACAUUCUAAUUUAAUUUACCCAUGGUGGGCCUUUCUCAUUGUUUUGGGCAAGUUGGUUGGCAGGUCUUUUCAUAUAUAAAUCACACUAAGAAAAAUUUUAAAUUAGGAAGUUUGUGAUGGGCAAAAUCUUUUGUAAUAUCUACCACAAUGGUAAGGCCGCUCAUUUCAAAGAGAAUUUAUAAUUGGGGGUUAGGAGCCCAUUGGAGAGAUCAGGAGAGCCCCUCACGUUACCCAAUGUGGCUCUGCCGAGGGGCCCAGUUUAGAGCUGCACAAAGCGGGGUGGGAGUGGGGAGGGGGUGCUGUAGGUGGGCAGAGCUGCCAGCAGAGGGCAGUGUCCCUGUUCACGGCCUGCUCUGCAAAAUCUGCCUGCAGUGUUGGUGUGCCAGGGAGUUUCUUAGUAUUAAUUUUCAUGAACAUCUACAAGACACCUUAAAUGGGACAAGGAAUACUGGGAGAGUCUGCACAUUCCAUUUGGGAUUAAUAUCAAUUCUAGAGUCCCCGGGCGGCCUUCUGGUUGUAGGAUGUGUCUCCCUCUGUCCCUCUGGGUGUGGCUUCUUUUUCCAGAUAAAACCACAGGUUUAAGGGUUGGGGAGUGGCUGGUGAGCAGACUUGUGUUCCUGGGGUGCUAGGUCAGGAAAGUGGAGAGCUUCAACCCUGUGCCCCGUACCGUGUUGAGAAGUCUGAUUUUGAAAACACCAAGUUGUCUAGGCCAUUUCUUUCCUUGAUUCCCUGGCCUUCAGGAAAGUUGGUGCAACUGUGAUGGCUCAGGGUGUUGAUUGUGUCUCUGGCCUUUCUUGCCAGCAGUAGAAUCUGAGUGCUUCGAGAGGGCAGAUGGGGGUGGGCAGGCGGCUGUGUUCCACCCAGAUAUCUCACAGGGACAGCCCAGGUUGAGUGCUGCCCCUUAGCGUCCCUCACCCCUGCCCCUUGGAGCAGCUGCUUUAUCUGGAGGCCAAGCGGGAGGCUCCAUGUGCACAAGGUGCACACUGUUAAAGGAGGGACACCUGUCCCUCAGCGUACUCCCACAGCCCAUCACUGCCUGAACUGCUGCAUCAGAGGCCUUCGAGAGCAUGGUGCUUCUGCUCCCAAGUAGCCCAACUGCUAAGAGCAAAUCCUGCAGGAAGGACUGCCGUAUCGUUAGCCAGUACCCCUGUACUUAGGCACCAUGAAACAAACGUCAGGCCUGUCAUGGAGUGAGCCUCAAAUUUCUGCUUGCCCAAGAACCAUCCAGACUCCAAAAGGAUCCUGGUUAGAAGCAACAAGCUAAAGAGGAUAUUUGGAGGACAACUGGGAGAAAUUUGGAUGUGGACUGUAAGGUGGUGUUAUGGCUUGUGUCUAGAUGUUUCCCCAAAGUCUCAUGCAAUCCUAGAUGGGGCAUUUCCACAGGUGGCUGAACUAGAAUGUGUGAUGCUAAGAUUAAGGGUAUGUGAUGACUAAGUCCACUGAUUGAUUUUUCCAACCCUAAGCCCAGUAGCCUAGUUAGAAUGUAAAAGGGGCACAAAGAAGCUGUUGUUGCUUGUAAUUUGGUGCCUUCUGUCUUCUGCCCACCAUGAACUGUUUCUCUUCUGCAAUGCCUCCCUGCCAUGCCACCAUGCCUUGGUGCCAGCUGAUCAUGGACUGAAACUUCUACAAACUGUGAACUGAAUAAACCUUUCCUCCCUUAACUUGUGGGUGUUGGGUAUUUUGUCUCAGCAAUGAGAAAAGUAACUGAGGCAGGUGGUAUUGCUGAAUUACUGUUGAUUUUCCCAAGCAUGGUGAUAGUAUGGAGGAGAACGUUUUUGUUCUUUGGAGGUGUUUAGAGUGAAGUACUGCAGUGUCAGAGCUUACAGAUGAUUUACACACACACACGCACACACACGCGCACACAGCACAUAGUGAGAAAUGAGUGGUGAAUAGAGUGCUGGGCACAUGGGUAAUCAUCUUACUUUUUCAUCUUUUUUAGUGUGUGUUUAAAAAUGACCACAGUAAAAGUGAAGGCAAAGUCACCUAAAGAACUUGCUUAUAAUUCCAGCCUCCCUCUCCAAGCUUGUGGUUCAGUGAAUCCAAGUGGUGCUCGGAAUGAGCAUUCGGACAAGCUCCCCAAGUGUUCCUGACCAGGUGCCCCUUGGAACUUACUGCAAGACACUGCUCCAAGAGCCCUGGCCGCAGCCCAGAGCAUCCUGGCUCUGAAGAGGGCAGUGGUUGCAUGUGUGAAAGAAGACUGCUAAGUAGCACAUGCAGGCCAGCAGCGCCCUGCACCCAGCAUAGGGUAUGUUACUGCUCCAGCUUUGGCCUCACCCUACCUCUACCCUCCUGCUCUGGCAACUUCUGGCUAUGCUGCAUCUGACUGUCUGUCCCUUUGCUUAGAAUGCCUUCCUUUCUUACCUCCCAACCUCUACUCUCCCCUUGGCCUUCUCUGUUUACAUAACUGACAUGUACUUUCCAUGAAUCUUCUUCCAGGAAGCCUCCCCAAGACGGGAAGUUACCCCCAGAUACCUCUACCCACACAUGAUUUUCCAUUUACCAUAUCACUCACUUGAGAGCUUCUGAAAGGUCUCCAGUGUGGAGCCACCAGUACUGUUCCCAAAUGUCCCUAGUGUUCCCUUUCUGAAUACCAUGUG
RNAcentral lists this long non-coding RNA (8888 nucleotides) under Heterocephalus glaber (naked mole-rat). Its description in RNAcentral is "lncRNA (ENSHGLG00000038830.1)". Lineage: Eukaryota; Metazoa; Chordata; Mammalia; Rodentia; Bathyergidae. The record is from RNAcentral.